This 317-nucleotide long non-coding RNA is filed under the name Nicotiana benthamiana. RNAcentral's name for it is "long non-coding RNA (NBEN_LNC010866)". The record is from RNAcentral. Lineage: Eukaryota; Viridiplantae; Streptophyta; Magnoliopsida; Solanales; Solanaceae.
AUCCAUUCGACGUUCUUUUUGAUAAUAUAUGUGAACAAAUAAUAGCUAUAGUCCAACCAUUUCCCGAAUUUCAAGGGUGGGAUUUGUAUUUUUUGGACGAAGUUAUUUCAUUGUCCCUUUUUUCCCUGAUGGAUGAAUAUUAUUUUUCCAUUGAAUGCCUCCAAGGCAUAUACUUAGAUUUAAUCACCAAUGGUGCUUCUUCAGCCUUUUUAACCUUUUUUCUUAAUUAUUGAAUUGAAGUUAUAUAAAAAAAUGAACUGACAAAGCGUCUGUUCACGGAGGUUGUUGUAGUUUUCGUAGUUGCAAGAAUUUCUUUC